AGGAUGAACGCUGGCGGCGUGCCUAAUACAUGCAAGUCGAGCGGUAAGGCUCCUGCAGGUUAUUUGAUCGAGUAUCGAAUAACGCGCUGGAGUACACGAGCGGCGGACGGCUGAGUAACACGUAGGAACGUACCCCAAAGUGAGGCAUAAGCACCAGAAAUGGUGUCUAAUACCGCAUGUGAUCUUCGGAUUAAAGCUUCGGCGCUUUGGGAACGGCCUGCGCAUGAUUAGCUUGUUGGUGGGGUAAUGGCCUACCAAGGCGACGACGGGUA
RNAcentral lists this ribosomal RNA (272 nucleotides) under uncultured bacterium. RNAcentral describes it as "partial small subunit ribosomal RNA". It matches the Rfam family "Bacterial small subunit ribosomal RNA", at positions 26 to 285 of the family's 1533-position model. The record is from RNAcentral.